Molecule: long non-coding RNA, 629 nt
Organism: Marmota monax (woodchuck)
Lineage: Eukaryota; Metazoa; Chordata; Mammalia; Rodentia; Sciuridae
Exons: 5
Source: RefSeq, a predicted model, not a curated record
GGACGAGUUCCGCAGACGCACAAUAUGGAGCCUAGCUUCCUCCUCACCUGUUACCUGAGGGAGAAGAGGGACGAAACUUGAAAAGCAAACGGAAAGCGAGGAAGCAGAAAACUCAUUCUGCUAUUCCUGUUCUAAUGCCAUCACUCCUUCAACGUUCUUAUGUGGUCUCCACAUUUCCUUCCAGAAGACACAUUCCACAAUGCUUUACAUAAUAGAGUUUCAUUCACCAUUUGUGUCUGGGAUGGAAUCCAGGUCUUCAUAUAAGCUGGGGCCUGGUGAGACCCUUCCAGAGCCUGGAUUCCAGGGAUUCCUGGGAACAACAGAUCACAGAGGGCUACUGACAUGCAGAAGGUUGAGGCCAGGAUUGCUGCUCAGCAUCCCACAGUGCUCCACACAAAUCCCAUAACAUGGAAUAUCCAGCAGAACUGGCUCUCAUCAUGGUUGAUAACCCAGGAUAACAAAGGGUCCCUAUAUCCUGAGGACUACAACACGGAUAAAUGCUACCCUUUGGUCUGAUGUUUGUGUCUGCUUCUUAUGGGAACAGAAUUACUUUUACAAUGGUAGUUGCAGAAGAAAUAAUAUGAUGUUUGAAUAGGUUGACAAUGAAAUUAACGAGGAUUACAUCUCAA